GGAGUCNNNNNNNAGGAGUCGGGCUACAUGCAGUCGACGGUCUCUUCGGAGAUGUGGCGGACGGGUGAGUAACGCGUGAGAAUCUGCCUUUAGGUUCGGGACAACAGUUGGAAACGGCUGCUAAUACCGAAUGUGUCGCAAGAUGAAAGAUUAAUUGCCUAAAGAUGAGCUCGCGUCUGAUUAGCUAGUUGGUGGGGUAAGAGCCUACCAAGGCGACGAUCAGUAGCUGGUCUGAGAGGAUGAUCAGCCACACUGGGACUGAGACACGGCCCAGACUCCUACGGGAGGCAGCAGUGGGGAAUUUUCCGCAAUGGGCGAAAGCCUGACGGAGCAACGCCGCGUGAGGGAGGAAGGCUCUUGGGUUGUAAACCUCUUUUAUCAAGGAAGAUAAUGACGGUACUUGAUGAAUCAGCAUCGGCUAACUCCGUGCCAGCAGCCGCGGUAAUACGGAGGAUGCAAGCGUUAUCCGGAAUAAUUGGGCGUAAAGCGUUCGUAGGUGGUGAUGUAAGUCUGCUGUUAAAGCGUGUAGCUUAACUACAUAUAGGCAGUGGAAACUACAUGACUAGAGUGCGUUCGGGGCAGAGGGAAUUCCUGGUGUAGCGGUGAAAUGCGUAGAUAUCAGGAAGAACACCGGUGGCGAAGGCGCUCUGCUAGGCCGUAACUGACACUGAGGGACGAAAGCUAGGGGAGCGAAUGGGAUUAGAUACCCCAGUAGUCCUAGCUGUAAACGAUGGAUACUAGGCGUUGUCUGUAUCGACCCGGACAGUGCCGUAGCUAACGCGUUAAGUAUCCCGCCUGGGGAGUACGCACGCAAGUGUGAAACUCAAAGGAAUUGACG
RNAcentral lists this ribosomal RNA (838 nucleotides) under uncultured marine bacterium. RNAcentral's name for it is "bacterial SSU rRNA". It matches the Rfam family "Bacterial small subunit ribosomal RNA", at positions 57 to 915 of the family's 1533-position model. The record is from RNAcentral.